GGGUGUCGGCGCGAAAGGGCGGCUUUCCGGGGCUGCGCAACUGACUCUUAAUCAGCGGGUCCAAGGUUCGAAUCCUUGUGCGCCCACCA
Molecule: transfer RNA, 89 nt
Filed under: Elioraea tepida
Lineage: Bacteria; Pseudomonadati; Pseudomonadota; Alphaproteobacteria; Acetobacterales; Elioraeaceae
Description: Elioraea sp. MS-P2 tRNA-Lys
Rfam family: tRNA (bases 17-86)
About the family: Transfer RNA (tRNA) molecules are approximately 80 nucleotides in length.
Source: RNAcentral